GAUGAACGCUAGCUACAGGCUUAACACAUGCAAGUCGAGGGGUAACGAGAGGAAAGCUUGCUUUCCUUGUCGACGACCGGCGCACGGGUGAGUAACGCGUAUCCAACCUGCCCCCAACUAGGGAAUAACCUUGCGAAAGUAAGACUAAUACCCUAUAAUUUCCUCAGAUGUCAUCUGACGAGGAAUAAAGAUUUAUCGGUUGUGGAUGGGGAUGCGUCUGAUUAGCUUGUUGGCGGGGUAACGGCCCACCAAGGCAAAGAUCAGUAGGGGUUCUGAGAGUAAGGUCCCCCACAUUGGAACUGAGACACGGUCCAAACUCCUACGGGAGGCAGCAGUGAGGAAUAUUGGUCAAUGGGCGGAAGCCUGAACCAGCCAAGUAGCGUGCAGGAUGACGGCCCUAUGGGUUGUAAACUGCUUUUAUACAGGAAUAAAGUUAGCCACGUGUGGUUAUUUGUAGGUACUGUAUGAAUAAGGACCGGCUAAUUCCGUGCCAGCAGCCGCGGUAA
Molecule: ribosomal RNA, 506 nt
Filed under: uncultured bacterium
Lineage: Bacteria
Description: partial 16S ribosomal RNA
Rfam family: Bacterial small subunit ribosomal RNA
Source: RNAcentral